Molecule: ribosomal RNA, 254 nt
Filed under: uncultured bacterium
Lineage: Bacteria
Description: partial 16S ribosomal RNA
Rfam family: Bacterial small subunit ribosomal RNA
Source: RNAcentral
UACGUAGGGUGCAAGCGUUGUCCGGAUUCAUUGGGCGUAAAGAGCUCGUAGGCGGCUUGGCAAGUCGGGUGUGAAACCUCCAGGCUCAACCUGGAGACGCCACCCGAUACUGCCAUGGCUAGAGUCCGGUAGGGGACCACGGAAUUCCUGGUGUAGCGGUGAAAUGCGCAGAUAUCAGGAGGAACACCAACAGCGAAGGCAGCACUCUGGGCCGGUACUGACGCUGAGGAGCGAAAGCAUGGGGAGCGAACAGG